RNAcentral lists this ribosomal RNA (276 nucleotides) under uncultured bacterium. RNAcentral's name for it is "partial 16S ribosomal RNA". It matches the Rfam family "Bacterial small subunit ribosomal RNA", at positions 28 to 303 of the family's 1533-position model. The record is from RNAcentral.
GAUGAACGCUAGCGGCAGGCCUAAUACAUGCAAGUCGGACGGGAUUGGAGAGCUUGCUUUCCAUGAGAGUGGCGCACGGGUGCGUAACACGUAUGUAACCUACCUUGUUCAGGGGGAUAGCCUCUCGAAAGAGAGAUUAAGACCGCAUAACAUUGCAAUGUGGCAUCACAAAGCAAUCAAAUAUUUAUAGGAACAAGAUGGGCAUGCGGAACAUUAGCUAGUUGGUAAGGUAACGGCUUACCAAGGCUACGAUGUUUAGGGGAUCUGAGAGGAUGA